RNAcentral lists this ribosomal RNA (395 nucleotides) under uncultured bacterium. RNAcentral describes it as "bacterial SSU rRNA". It matches the Rfam family "Bacterial small subunit ribosomal RNA", at positions 505 to 898 of the family's 1533-position model. The record is from RNAcentral.
GUGCCAGCCGCCGCGGUAAUACGUAGGAUGCAAGCGUUGUCCGGAUUUAUUGGGCGUAAAGAGCGCGUAGGCGGUGUCUUAAGUUAGGCGUGAAAUCUCCCGGCUCAACUGGGAGGGGCCGUCUAAAACUGGGACGCUUGAGGGCAGCAGAGGAAAGUGGAAUUCCCGGUGUAGUGGUGAAAUGCGUAGAUAUCGGGAGGAACACCAGUGGCGAAGGCGGCUUUCUGGGCUGUUCCUGACGCUGAGGCGCGAAGGCUAGGGGAGCGAACGGGAUUAGAUACCCCGGUAGUCCUAGCAGUAAACGAUGGACACUAGGUGUUGGUGGUAUUGACCCCAUCAGUGCCGAAGCUAACGCAUUAAGUGUCCCGCCUGGGGAGUACGGCCGCAAGGCUAAA